Non-coding RNA from Phascolarctos cinereus (koala), 1460 nucleotides. Lineage: Eukaryota; Metazoa; Chordata; Mammalia; Diprotodontia; Phascolarctidae. The record is from RefSeq and is a predicted model, not a curated record.
AGAAGCCAGAGGAAGAAUCUCAACUGUUCCUGACUCCUUGGUGACAUGUUUAUUCUCUCUUCCCCUCUUUGGCAAGAGAAGGACCUUGUGAUUUUCACAGAGUACAGCCAAUUCUGGACUUUCUAUCUUCCCACUGAUGUCCUAGUGGAGUCUCAUAUGAGCUGAUGGCAAGAGCCAUAGAUUCCUCAUGUUUACAGGGAGCAUCUUAGAUACUCCAAAAAUGGGAGACAAGGACCACCACCAACCAGCAACUACUAAAUCAUCCUCUUUCAAAGUAAUGUCAAAUUAUGGAAGAAGACAUGAGAAACCAAAUUCUCCCCCGUUCCCCAGUGAUUGAUUCUGAAGUGAUUGGACUAGCUUGAAAUGGAAGAGUUGAAACUAACUUACUACAGAGAAGUCAACACUGCUGAUGCAAUUUUAAAAGGAUAAUGACCUACGUAGAAAAAGAAGGAAGAAGAGUGGUUUGUAGGAAGCAGAUAACCAAGAUGAAGAGCUGAAUGCUGAAUGGGAUCUCAGAAGCCAUUUGAUUCAACUUCCUCCUACCAGAGAUAAUGAAAUAGAAUCCAGGCUAAGAUCAUCUGGGAACUUGGAACUGACUCCUGAGAAUAUUGUAUCAAAAUCUCAGUUUAUGUAGGAUACUCUUCAUUAGCUUUAGAAAUACAGGCAUAAAUAACAUUGAAGUGCUAGCUCCAAGUUUUCCUGUUUGAAUCUUUCACCAUAUGUAUUCCUACAACCUACAUUACAAUGCAUGGAACGUAGAUUUUGUUGACUGAUUGAUAGAUUGAUACCAAGUCAUAUGACAAGGGAUCCAGCAAAUAUUUUUCAAUUUUUAUUUAAUUACAAUAUAUGGUUUUACUCCAAAUGGAAUUAAUAUUCCUUUGCUCCAUCAACAAAUCAAUCCAUUUUAAAUUCUUUUUGCUAGUGUUUGAAUAUUUCUCACAAGAGCAUUUUUCACUUUAGGUAGAAAAGUCUAAGGAAUAACAAUGGAGGCAUGAAGUAAACUUCUAGUCUCAAUAAAUUAAAUGUCUCAAGUAAAUUUAUUUUGUGAAGGGAAAUCACUACAUCCUGAGGUAAUUCUUGGAUUUCCAAGGUUGGAUCCUGAUAUUGACAGUAGUAGUCCCUAGAAAUAUAGAAAGACCACAUAUAAAGAGUCCAUAGAAGUAUAGAAAGACCACCUUGUCCAAUUACAUCAUUAGCAUCAUUCUCUCAGCUUCUAAAUGAGCUGAAGACCAUGCUUGCCCUUCUGUAAUUCAGUCCACUUGGUCAGAGAUUGUGCUGAAUUCUUGAUUAAGUAAAUGGGAUUGAUGGAUGUUUGGGCCAUGAGCAAACAUAGCCAUUGUUCAUAUGACUUCAUGGCUAGCAUCAGGAGAAAAUCAAAAUGACUUAUGAUAAAGGAAAAACUAGUGUCUGUGGCCCAUAAAUGAAAAAUGAUAGCCUGAUAAUUCCAUCUUCAGGAAUGA